Long non-coding RNA from Myotis davidii, 343 nucleotides. RefSeq lists it as uncharacterized. The record is from RefSeq and is a predicted model, not a curated record. The transcript is spliced from 3 exons. Lineage: Eukaryota; Metazoa; Chordata; Mammalia; Chiroptera; Vespertilionidae.
UUUUCUCUUGUUUUAGUAUUUGUGCCCGUCGUGCUUGUCCACAAGGAAGGAAGGAAAAACAAUGUAGAGAGAGGGUUAAUGACCUGAGGAGAGAAUACCCUUUCCAAAUGGGGAAAGAUACCUUUUCCUCUGCUUUCCUUUUGACCAGAGAUGGAGCGAUUGGUUGAGAAACAGAAAAAUAAGUCAUGUGUGAACCCUCAUCUUGAAUGGCGUCCGGCAGGGGGUGGCGGUCUCAGCCACAGCACCUCUGUUUUCUGAUGGGCAGGGCUACUUGUUGAGAGGAGCUAACUUGCUCAAUGUUAAGAAAGGGCUGGGUCCUACCGGCUUGGCUCAGUGGAUAGAG